Molecule: ribosomal RNA, 1245 nt
Filed under: Triticum aestivum (bread wheat)
Lineage: Eukaryota; Viridiplantae; Streptophyta; Magnoliopsida; Poales; Poaceae
Description: partial small subunit ribosomal RNA
Source: RNAcentral
AUGAACCGACCGGCAGAGGGAGGAAGGGAGGUACCUGCGGUGGUGGCGGCGGCGCCCGGCGACCAUCUGGUUCUGAUUCGGCCGCGUCCGGCUCCUAUUCAAUGUCAGGUAGAUCUGAUUCGAUCGCGUCCGACACGGAAUCCGGACAGAGGGAGCAGCAGAUCGAAAAAAACCAGGAUGUCUAAGCGGCUCCAGGGAGAGGAGAUACAGGCAAACUGCGCCCGCAAAAGGUCACGACCUUCUGAUCAGAAGCACCUCUAUCUGGUGCUGGAUGACUGGAAAGAUGGGUUCAGCAUUCACAAGAUUGACGCCGACGACGAUGACGCGGACCUUGGCCAGCCACCGGUCCUCCGGUUGGUGUNGCCGGCGCCUGGCUUUCCAAUGCGCUUUGCGGUCGUGGGCAGCAACAUCGUCAUCGUCACCAACCCACGCUGUGGUCAGGCUCCCACACUUUUCUAUGAUACGAAAAGAACAGGACUCGCCGUCGGCCCUCCGCUCCCCGGUCCACUGGUGGGUGACUUCCACACCUCCGUGGCCACUGCGGAUAUGCUGUAUGCGCUGAGUUUUCAUCAUAGGAAUCAGCAGCACUCCUUUGAGGUGAUGUCUUGGGAAGAAUCUCCAAAUCCUUGUACCAUGAGCUGCUCAUGGACAAGUGUGCCCUCACCACCCCCGUUCGAGGAGGAUGAAUGGAUCACCUCCUACGCCGUGCACCCUGAUGGACACACCAUCUUCAUGUCUGGGGUCAACAAGUACAAUCUCAAACGUCGGACCUUCUCUUUUGACACCAAGUACUGUGAGUGGAGGUUUCAUGGGGAAUGGGCCUUGCCUUUCCAAGGCCAGGGCUACUAUGACAACACGCUGGACGGAUGGGUUGGCCUUCACGAGGAUGGCUACAUCUGCGCCUGCCAAGUCGCCCCCCGCAGCCGCGCAAGUACCAUACAGCCCGAGUGGAAGGUUGUCAAGGGGAAGUUGUUCCACAAGGUCCCGGAGAGGAAACGAGCGGCCUCAUAUGCCACUCUAACAUACAUGGGCAAUGCCAGAUUUUGCCUUGUGGAGUGUGUGGUGCGUGAGGAAGUGGAGUAUGAGGAUGCCUUAGGUGAUUGUGAUGGUUGCAUGCUCCUUAUGACCAAGUUUGGCCUCAAGUACUCUCAUAAUGGAGAGUUGCAGACCAUCAAUCGCACCACCAACUCCUAUGUGUUGUCGAAGCAUAUCACCGGGUUUUCUCCUGUAGCGUUCUGGAUGUAG